This 253-nucleotide ribosomal RNA is filed under the name uncultured bacterium. RNAcentral's name for it is "partial 16S ribosomal RNA". It matches the Rfam family "Bacterial small subunit ribosomal RNA", at positions 524 to 776 of the family's 1533-position model. The record is from RNAcentral.
UACGUAGGCCGCGAGCGUUGUUCGGAGUUACUGGGCGUAAAGCGUGCGUAGGCGGUGUCUUAAGUUUGUUGUGAAAUCUCCCGGCUUAACCGGGAGGGUGCGGCGAAUACUGAGAUGCUGGAGUGCCGGAGAGGUAAGCGGAAUUCCUGGUGUAGCGGUGAAAUGCGUAGAUAUCAGGAGGAACACCUGCGGUGUAGACGGCUUACUGGACGGUAACUGACGCUGAGGCACGAAAGCGUGGGUAGCAAACAGG